GAGCAUCGACGUCAGGAUGCAUUUACGAGGGUGAUGCUGAUGUCUGGAGAUCACAAAGAGCAAAAACACGGAGAGGCGAAAAAAAAAUGGGCGAAACAACGAUCUCGCCAUGGACUUUGUGAGUGAUUACUUCCAUUCAUUCCACUUUUGUUCUAACUCUCUCUGUUCUUCCACUCCAGGAACGCGAAAGUAGGAGACCCAGCACCGAAAGAAAGGAAAAACUUCGCGAUCAGUUACAACCGCAUCCCCUUAAGUCGUCUGCAAGCUCUGGACAAAUUCUGGGUGGUCUUGGCGGGAUUUGCAGCAUUUCCUUUCGCUCAUCCUGGCCGUCGAAUCCAUCCGACGGCAGCCAGCCGAGCACACUUGUCCUAUAGAGAAGGUGCUGUAAGGUUUUUUUUGUUUUUUUUUUUUGGUCCUUGUGAAUUUUAUUUUUUUUUUGUGUUUACGUGCUUGCUCUGCAGACAUGGUUGGUGCCAUUGCUGCCUAGCAAGUUGUUCGCCGGUCACCUCAAGAACAGGCUUUUGCUCGCUCCUUUUCUCGGCUCUUCCAACUUUUUUCUAAGUGGAAGAGCACUUUGAUCCGGAAGCGCCAGUAAUCUAAUCGCUAGCUCCAAUGCUGCCACGGAGUUUUCUAUCAAUCCAUCGCGAGAGGGGUGUGUUUGGCGCUUUCGAUAGCUCACGUCUGGCUAGCCAAGGAGCGCGAGUUUUUUUUGGAGAUCAUGGAUAGAAUUCACAAAGAGUGUUAUUUACCUGUGGAAUGGAGAGUACAAAUUUUUCUUUUCUUUACACGAGAGCGAGGAGGAGAAACACAAAUGCUGCACGCUCGAGAGAAUCGAGAGUGUUAUUUGGAGGGCGCUAUCCUCUGAUCGAGAGAACCAAGCGAUAGAACCAAAAAGAAAACGUUGGGAAGAACUACAACGAGAAAACGAGAAAAGGGGAAAAAACUGCUCACAACUUCCACAAACCUGGGGAAAAUGCUGCCUCGCCUACAAACAAUCUUAUGGAGGAAUCGAGAUCGCCAAAUGGAAGGAGGAGGAAGGAAUCCAGCGGAAAGAAAGAAAGAAGUCCAAGGAAGAACGACGAAGAACUCUUCUCCUCCCCGCUUUUGUGCUGCUGCUACUUAUACUAGACCAGUGAAAAAGAAUAAAAAUCCCUCCUUUCGCUCCAAUCCACCCCUCCCCAUUCCAUUUGGGCGAUUCCCUCUUCUCCCAUGCUCCAAUCUAGUAGGUCUUGUAUGGAUCCUCUGCGAGGAGCUGCCUGGUGGUGGCAUCCAUCUUCAAUCCCAGAUCCAUGACGUGCUGCUGCUCCGCGAGGGAGAGAUCAUCCAUCUCCAUCGCCGAAGACAUGGCCCCUGCUCCAAUUCGUGCUCCCUGCGCUGCCAUGGGCAUCGCCGCCGCGAUGACAAUGCCAAUCAGCAGCACCAGCGCUGAGAUCUUCCUGAGAAUCGCCUGCAAUGCCAUCGCGCCGAAGAGAUUUCGCUGCGGGCUGGAAAGAAAUUCUUCCCUCACUCUCUCGCACAGAGCUCUCUCUCUCUCUCCCUGGCGAAAUAGGGUAAGCCCAGGGCCGGGUAUUUAUCUUCUGCAAUUACUCCACGUCGAAGAAAUUACCCAGUCCCUCCCUGGGCCGGGGAUUUUCUUCACACACGCUGAGACACGCUCUUUGUUUUUACGUGGGGUAAGUCGCGAAGUCCCGCCAUUGGGCCAGCUGUCAAAGUCUCCUACUGUAACGUAGUUAUAUGUGUAACUACCAUUUUAGGUCAUCUUUUACGUUACAUUCUACGGAAUAUUUCCCUGCAUGACGACGGCUGAUCUCAGCCGUGGGUUCCUUAGCGUACGGCAGGCGUACGAAGGGGAUAUUCUUGGGGCAUAUGCUGAUCCCACGGCGGUCGCUGUGAUGGAGAUGGUUGUUGCGCCGGCUACGUGCCACGAUGGGAACGACGCAACAACGCAAAGUUUUAAUUUUUGUGCGACAACGCGUCUAUUUUUUUUUUUGGUACUUAGUUCUUUUCUAUUUGGAGUUCUUUUCUUUGGGUUUUUAUUCGCUACAACGUGUUUCCAAUGGGGACAGCAAUGCUUAACUUCAGUGUUUAUGGACGAGCUUGGGAAUUCUGUGUUGGCCUUUUCCUGGAGGGUUGGGCCUUGUCUAUAAUGAGUGAUUUCUUUGGUUGAGACGUGUGUUUGGAGACCUGGCGGUGGUACAAGGAACCCUAAAAAAUUCCUGGAUCUUGGAGCUUUCUAGAAACUUUUGGAUGGACCAAUUCAAAGCUCUCCCCUUUUCUUAAUUCGUAGAAACCCUAAUAGGAGGAACCCUAAAGCUAGCAUUUGCAUUUUUCCUAUCCUACAUUUGAUCAGGCUCUCUGCAGGGAAUGUCAUGAGCUACCAUCGAUCAAUCAACCCUCGGUCAGUACUGGAGGAACAUCCACUUCAAGAGAAUGCCUGUCGAAAAGCUCAAAGAACAACCAACCGAUCGAUCUCUCGAUCGCGAGAAAAGCGAGAAAAAGCUAACCUUCCCAGCGCGUCGCCUCGGAGCUCACCGCGAUCCCGGUCACCAGUCGCGCCGCCGCCGUGGCGCUGUGCUUGGGCACCAUGGACGAAAUCCCCCUGUGGAUCCUGGAAACAAAAUCUCCUUUGUGCUCGAUCGAUCGAAUCCAUGCACUGGAAAUUCACCUGAUCCUGGCGCUCGCCUGCCCCUCCGGCGAUGGGAUCGCGAUCGAUCGCCGCAGUGGCCGCGCGCCUGGAAUCCCGAGCUGGGGAAGCCUCCUCAAUUCUAGCCGCCUCAUCACUCUUGCCGCCAUCGCUUUUCUUCUAUAGAGCUUAUAAACCCUAGGGUUUUAGACUAGGGCUAUGGCAGCGGCCAAUGUAGGUCGCAUGGCGGGGCGCUUCGCCUUCCGCGCUCGCGCUGCCAGGCCGCAAUUCCAUCCCAGGUCCUCCGGCGCCCAACCGCAGUACCAGUUCCAUCGAUCGUUGCCUCGAUCGUUCGAAGAAGCUCGAAUCAAGACCAGGUAUACAUUUAUUUCUCUUCUGGCAUUCUUUCGAUCGAAUUGCCAGGCUUCGUCGGGAGCUCGUGUCGCUGUUUCCUUUGCACAAUGCCACGGCCUCGUCCAGGCUCGUCUCGCUGAUUUCCGGUGGAUCCAAGAGCCUAGAAUGUAAGGAAAAUUCUUUCUUUGUCUUUGUUUGCUAUGAAGCUUGCUUGCAUUGUUGUUUGUUUCUUCCCUUCGGAUCUGGGGGUGGUCUCUCGCGCUUUCUUGCGGCAUUUUUUUUUUUUUUUUUCAUGCGCGUUUUCGGGUUGCAGGCAUUUUCUUGAAGUGGGUGUCUCUCGAUAAUUUCAGGCCGCUGCUACAGUCGAGGGGACGAUGAUGGCUGAGUCUCUCAGAAUUUAGCACACUAUCCUUGGAGUCCAUCGUCCGUUGUCACAGAUGAAUCUGUGGCUUUAAUUUCCGUGUUUUUUCUUUCCUGUUCUUGUCUUCCCUGAGCUAUGAUCACCAGCUAGAGGUACCUGUAUCAACCCAGGUUUUCAGGCAAAACGAAUUUUUUCAUUUCGUCGAGCUUUUCUAGUGCCUUUGUAUUUCCCUGUUUCUGGAUGGUGGUUCAUGUGUUGUGUUUCUCUACCCAGGUUGGCUCCAGCACUGCCUAAGGUCUCCGAAAAGCGUAGCGUCAGAACCGUCACGAGAGCAGUGUUUUGAAGCAUCAAGGUUCUCUCUUCUUUUCAUUUCGUUGUUCUUUCGCUUCUUUUCCAUGGCAUGUUUUACUGGUCUCUUCCUGCCAGGUGAUGCUAUUGAAUUCUUGAGGUGCGUGGAUAGUCUUCUUUGCUUGUUGACAAGAUUGGCGAGAGUUUAUCAUCGCGAAUAACAAGAGCUUUUUCUUCAGUGUUAUCUCUCGGCCAGUCGGCAUUAAGUUCCCAGUCAGAAACGAUAAGAGAGGGUGUGGGGUUUAGACGUGUUUUGGCUAUGGCUGCGAGAUUGGUGGUAGCAGGGCGAGUAGCAGCUCCUCCCGCCCGACUACUUUCGCCCUCUCCUCGCGUCCAUCGAGCUACAUUCGUCACAACGUCCCGCUCUUCUGGUGGUUUUCAUUUGGAGCAGGAUGGAUUAUCCUCUUCCAGCUCACGGUCUUCUUGCUUUUCCUCCUUCCAGUUCCUGUUUCUCGGUCUCUCACGAAAAAGCUUGUUUGUCCUUCCAGGUCUGCUGUACCUUUGUCCCCUGUCCCCAAGAAACGUAAUGCUACGAGGAUUUCGCUGGGAGCAGCAGUGCUUCGCAACUUUCAAGGUUUUGCUCGCUGUAAAUGCCUCGGUGAGGCAUUUUAAAGAGUGUCUAGCUAAAAGUUCGAGUUUUUCUCCAGCAGGAUUCGAGCAUUUCAGCCGUCUCAAGGAUGAUGGGUGAUGUAGUAAGAUUGAUUCGUUUCUCAUUUACUCACUGUGUGCUCUUACAGUUGAGAAGAAGAACAAGAAGCUAUGGAGGAUGCCAAUCUCUUGACUUGUAGCACGGUCACGGUUUGACGAAAUUUGAGCUCUUUUUCUUUUUGUUCUACUGAGGGUUUGAUAGGGUUUUGUAGCUUAGGAAUGCAGAGGAUUUCCAGUCCAGACGUAAGGAGCUCCCAACAGCGCACGCUCGAGAGACUGGAAAAAGCCAAGAGGAUUUUCAUUCUGGUGUCCGAAUUGAAGGCUUGCAGCAGCUCUAAGGACUUGGACAGAGGUAGGAAAAUCCAUGCCCGAGCUGUAGCAACUGGAGAGAGCUCCAACAUCUACGCAGCGACAACUCUCAUCAACAUGUACUGCAAAUGUGGAAGCCUGGUGGACGCUCGCAGCGUGUUUGACAGAAUGCCACUUUGCAACGCCGUGGCAUGGACUGCUCUCAUGCUGGGUUAUGCGGAGAACAGCUUGGAGGAACAGGCCUUGGAACUCUUCUCCGCUAUGCAGUCGCGGACAUUUAGCUGCGUCCCUGACUCGCGCACCUUCGUGGUGGCUCUCAAGGCGUGUGUUGGACUGGCAACGAAGGAAGCUGUCCAGGACAUCAACGGGAAGCUUGUGAAGAUGAAGUCACUGGAGAAAGGAAUGGCUGUUCACCACCAAGCCGUAAGAGUAUUACAGGGAGCUUUAGCUAUAGCACAAGAUAUCUACCUGGGAAGUGCGCUCGUCAACUUUUACGCAAGAUGUGGGGACUUGAGCAGCGCUAGCAGAGUUUUCGACGAGAUGUCGAGCCGGAAUGCUGUCGCCUGGAACGCUCUGAUGCUCGGGUAUACGGAGAGUGGCGAUUCGGAGCGGGCUUUGGAGCUGCUGGAACGGAUGCUGGGCGAGGGUUGCACUCCCAACGCCAGGAACUUCGUGGCGGCGUUGAAGGCCUGCUCGAGUUUGGCCGGGGACGAGGCUGGCAGCAAAGUCGAUGGGAAACUCGUCAAGGUGGUGUGCUUGGAAAAAGGCGUGGCCGUGCACUCGCAGGCCGUCAAGUAUGGCUGCGAGGCGGACAUCUUCGUCGGGAGCACGCUGGUGGACGUCUACUCCAAGUGUGGAAGCCUCCUCGACUCUUGGAGAGCUUUCGAGCGAAUGCCGAGGCGGAACGCGGUGUCGUGGAACUCACUGAUGCUGGGGUAUGCCGAGAACGGGGAGCCGGAAGCAGCACUCGAUUUGUUUGUCCGCAUGGCCAACGAAGAAGACGAAGCUAGUCCAGACGAUCGAAGCUACGUUGCCGCGCUCAAAGCCUGCGUUAUUCUGGCAGCCAAGGAAGAGGAAGGCCGCGGAGAGAAGCUGGUGAAGGUGGCAGCGCUCGAGAAAGGGAUGGCUAUUCACGCUCGAGCUGCGAGUAAGCACUUCGAACGGGAUAUCUUCGUCGCCAACAUGCUCGUGGACAUGUACUUCAAGUGUGGAAGUAUGGCGGACGCUUCCCGAGUCUUCGGCAGGAUAGAGAAUCCGACAGUGGUUUCCUGGACGUCGUUGAUACUGGGAUACAUCGACAACGGCGAAGGAGCUCUGGCUCUCAGGCUCUUCGAUCAGAUGCAAGCUCGGGGUUGCCGGCCGAGUGCUCAGACUUUCGUGGCCGCGAUGAGAGCUUGCACUUGCGAGGCUUCGAAAGAAGGUGGCGAUGGGAAGCUUGUCAAGAAGAAACAGUGGCUGCAGCGCGGGAUGGCCGUCCACGAUCAGGCAGUAAAGCGGGGACUGGAAUCCAACAUCUUCGUGGCAAGCGCAGCGGUGGAUCUCUGCUCCAAGUGUGGCAGCAUGGACAACGCCCGGAAGAUCUUCGAGCAAAGUCCCUCGAGCCACGGUUUGGCCUCGUGGAACGCACUGAUGCUCGGCUACGUGGAGAACGGCGACGCAGCAUCGGCACUCGGCUUGUUCUCGCGGCUCCAGCGGCAGAAAAACUCGUGGAGCUCGUCACCCAACGCUAGAACUUACGCUGCUGCGCUCAAGGCCUGUGGAGCUCUCGGUCUUCUCAGCUCAACCAAGCUCGUCCACGCGGAGAUCUGCCGCUGCGGAGCCUCGUCCGACGCAGUGCUGGCCAACUCGCUCGUCGACGCCUACGGCAAGUGCGGCGGCCUCGACCACGCGCAGCAAGCUUUCGACUCCAUCGCCAGCCCGGACGCCAUCACCUGGAACGCGCUCAUCACGUCUUACAGCUCCCAGGGAGACACCAACCGAGUUUUCCAGCUCCUGGGCGAGAUGCUAGGCCGGGGAUGGGAGCCGAGCGCCGUGACUUACACCUCGCUGCUCAUCGCGUGUAGCCGCGGGGGUCUGGUGGAUCGGUGUUGGAAGUUCUUCCGGGAGAUGGAGUCCAAGCACGGGGUGGCUCCUCGCAUCGAGCACUACCACUGCGUGAUGGACACACUGGGGCGAGCCAACCGGGUGGAGGAGGCGGUGAGGCUGGCGGAGGAGAUGCCGUUUGAGCCGAGUGGAGUGACUUGGACGACGGUGUUGAGCGCUUGCGAGAGCGUGGAGGCCGGGAGGGGCGCGUUUGGAUCGUUGCUCGGGAUGGAGGAGGCGGACAGGAAGGCUGGCUGCGCUCUCAUGUCCAACUUGUGUAGUAGUAAAAUCUAAGUCACACGUCCUUUUAAAUAGCUGAUAACUAAAAGCUUUUCACUCUCUGAAGCUCGUAUCGUUUAAUGGUAGCAAUAUAAUAAUUUUUUUAAAUGUAGAAUUGUGUAGUUAUAAGAUUAAAAGAAGUGGUCUUCAUCCAGUUGGUAGAGGUACAAUCAGCAAAAACCAUGAGACCUAAAAUUUGAUAAAGCUCAUCACGGAUAUGUUAGUCCAGUAACUUCAAGACUUGGGCUUUUUCUUUGCAGGAGGUUCUUCUUCCACCAUCGUCUUCUUAGCAGCCUCAAUCCAUCGCAAGGCACCACCCGAGAGGCGCCAGUGGCGCUCGUGCUUCAAAAUCCACAGGACUCAAAUCCCAGGCCUUCCAAACGCCAUCUUCAUCGCCCGGGCUUCCAUCACCUCUGCCUCCAUCGCAUCCCUGUAGCUGUGGCCUCUGCGCCCCCUUUAAUGGUGCCAUGCAAGAGUUCGGCGUCCGCUCGCUUCAACACAGAGCUCACUCCUGGGAAAGAAGUUAUGCAGCACGGCUCCUUGUCCACGGGGGAGCACGGCAGCAAGAAGUACUGGAAUGAUCUGAGCAGCUUUGGCUUUUCUGUCUUCGUCUUAAAGUCCAGAGGAUCCCAGCACUAGAUGAAGUCGUGGCACGCAUCAGCGCAAAGUCGCAGCCCUCGUCCCUGGAUAUGUUUUUCAGAUUGUACCGUGGCUUGUCUGCCAUAUCGAAGUGCUCUGGUCGGACAAAAUCUCCAUUCAGGCACCGGGUACACGACUUGGUCACACGAGCAGAUGUAAGGAAGAAGUGGGGGCUGAGUGCUAUGCCACUGCCAAAGCUAACGAUCCCACUCUCAUGUGUUGCACGAAUGGCCUCCUUGAGUAUAGCUGGUUUUCCAUACACUGAGCUGCCCAAUCUGGGUGGAUCACCCGCUGGGAAGAUAACCGUGCCCGAUUCAAAGUCGACGCCCAGAAUUCUAUUGAACUUACCUUUCCUAGAUGGAUCUGUCUCCUUGACCGCUAAAGUUUCUAAAACCUUCUCUUGAAGUUUUGCCUGUUCUCGGCCAAUAGCCGAAUCUAUAGGUGCAUAGUAAAUAACAUAAGGCUCCCCACGAACAAGGCUCUUCCAUAACAAACCCUAGCAGGAAUUAGACCUUCCUUUUAUAGCUGUGUGCGGGUAAAGGUUUACCUCCUUAACCAGCCCAUUAUGAUAAACCUGAGACGAGAGUCGGCGUCGAAGUUUUGCAGGAGCUGGUCUUCCUGAGCUCUACGCGAUGGGGAUCCAGGUCCGCGCCGAGCUGCCAUGGAAGAAGUCGAAUAGAGGAGUGUGGAGUGCGUGUCCGAGCUUGUGCUGCUUCCGCCAGCUUCUCAUUUGAGAGAGCUUGAUUUAGCAUUCAUUCAGUCUAGUUGUCUCUGGCUUUUGAGGAGUUGAAUUUGAGGGCGCAAUAGUAAUAGGGGCUCGUUUGAAGAUUGUUCCACCUGAAGAAGACAAGGCAGCGGCAACUCCAGCACAAUAAUCUCUCGGAUCCUCUCUCCCGAAGGGCUUCAAGUGAAGAAGUGUGUUUCGUUCCAGGAAAACCAGACUUUCUUUUCCAGCUUUGGUUGACACGACCGAGGUGGCGGACACGAGCAACGUUUUUUAUAUGAAAAAAAUCAUACCAUUGAAGAAGGGAGAGAGAUUCGUCAGGACAUUCCCUUAAAGAGGAAGAAAAUUUCUCCUUAAUAAGGGUAGGAAUGGAACGCAGUAGGGUUUGCAAUGCGGGAGCCUUUCGGGUAUGUCUGUGAUCUGCCUUAUUAUGUAACUCCUAGUAUCCAGCAGAUGUGUCGAGAAGAACAAAAGCUCCUGAAAGAGGUUUCAGGAGAGGUAGCAGUGAAUCUAGGAAGGGAAAGUUUAGUAGAGUUUUGGCGGUUGACUAUGAAUCAGGCACUGUUAUUUUCCCGAAGGAUGAUCUUCUAGUUCUACAAGCCCAAGCUGGUCAGUAUAUGGAAGGAAUCCAACUAUACUCAAGGAAGCCAUUCGCGCAACACACAGGCUCCAAAGUGUGGAUGAGGGUAGGAUGGUUCACUUCGGCAGUGGCGUGGCGCUCAGCCCGCAGUUCCUCCUUACAUCUGCUCGUAUGGCCAAGUCGUCUACCCAGUGCCUGAAUGGCGAUUUUGUGCGAUCAGAGCACUUCGAUAUGGCAGAGAAGCCACGGUACAAUCUGGAAACUGUAUCCAGGGACGAAGGCUGUGAUAUGGUGCUGAUGCGUGUCAAGACUUCAAGCGCUGGCGCGACUCUAGAGAAGGCAAAGCUGCUCAAGUCUUUCCAGUACUUCCUGCUGCCAUGCUCCCCAGUGGACAAGGCGCCAUGCUGCAUAACUUCCUUCCCGGGUGUGAGCUCCCUGUUGAUGCGAGCGGACGCAGACCUCUUGCACGGCAUCAUUCAUGGAGGUACUGAGGCUAGUCUCGGGGGCAUUUACAGGGAUGCGAUGGAGGCAGAGGCGAUGCAAGUUCGAGCCAUGCAUCAGUACAAGCCAUAACGUUCGUAGAUCAUUACCAAAUCUCGUCAAGUUCCACUGAUUCGAGGCCGGGAUGCGACGCACUUGAUUUUCUUGGGACGGUAACUCAUUCUUUUGUCUUUGCUGUUCUUUGUCCGUAUCAGUCAGUGAGUGACGCAAGACCAGAAAUCUGGCGAAAGCCACGGUAUGCCCCAUCGGGCGCCACGGAGACCAUAAAAUCUUUUCUUCUUCUUCUUUGUCUCGUUUUUCUUUUUUUUACACUUAAACUUAUUCUUUGCAGGCUCCUUCCCGCGCUCUUUUACAACAACGUUUUGGCUAGCAUGCCCCACUGUAUAAAAAUCUGUAUGUUCGUGAUUGGACAUCUCCAGAUCGUGUAGAUGUAUGGCUCCUUGCCUAAGCUCAAUAUUGAGCUCAAUCGAAGCUAUUGUGGAGACAAUAUCCUGUCAAGAGAACAGUCUCUAUAACUUUUACCAGGCUUGGAACUUAAAGGAAGAGAGAAAAAGGUUUCCUGGGAUUUUAGAAUCUUUCACGUAUCAAUUAUCGCAGGAAAAUUUCUUUCGUUUAGUCAUGUAACAUGACUAAACCUCUGGGCUUUCCUCUCUAGUGAGAUUCAGGAAGAACGAUAACAGUGGCUUAUGUUCUUUCCUAGCAGGUUGUAGAUCAAACAGAUUCAAGUAGAGCAGUAGCCUCAAGGAGUCUUCAUUCGCAGCAAGCGUAUGUUUGAUUUUUCUUAGAAUAUUUCUCAUUGUGGCAUUUUUGGUCUAGAUAGUGGAUCUACGUAGAAAGCUUCAUCUCACAUUGCAAAUUGCAACAUCAAGUAACACCAUUUCGAUUUCCUUUUACCAUGCCAGUUGGUUUUCUGGUGUUCUUUUUCCAAUCACAGCAAACAAAAUGAAACAGAACGAAAGCUAGAGCUCCAUAAAAAAUCAAGCGUACUCGAUGCUAGCCCCCUUGAACGUGAAGACUUUCUCCUUGUCCUUCCCGCGCGGCACCAGAGUGACAACGAGCUUGUCCGCGUCCUUCAAGCCCAAGAUCUCGACGUUGGGCUUGAUGGAGAAGCGGGCGUUGGUGGUCCGAGUGCUCGACUCGGUCAUCCCGGGCAUGAAGUGGGGGAUGUUGUAGAAAGAGCCAACGUACUCGGCGCAGGAGAGCGUUGUGGUCUCGUUGGCCUCAGGGAGAUUGAUGAACACGUUGAAGUUAGUGUUAUUCUGCAUCCCAACCACCAUCUCUUCCAGGACCAGGAGCUCGUCCGAAGCGCUGCCUUUGGGCUGCGCCACCGUGAUCGUCAGCGGGCCCGCUCCAACCUUGACAGGCUCGGCGUUCUGGGACGAGGAUUUCACGAGUGGAUACUCAGCCGCCAUAGCAGUAGCUCCAGGAACCAACGAAGCAACGAUCGAACUCUUGGGCUGCGCGAAGGCCGUCUUUGCGAGCGGCAGUGGCUUGUAGUUGAUCCAGACCUUGUCCUGGGGCAUGGACGCGUACUUGUACUUGAGCUUCGUCUGGUUGUCGAUGGAAUCUUUCACCUUGACGCGAACGAGGUCCUGGUUCUCAUCGAAGAAGAGGAACUCGGUGUUGAGGUAGUCGGCGUCCGUGAAGUCCUGGUUUCCCAGGGACCUCCACACGUCCCACAUCCUGUCCACGUUACCGUGGUGGCAGUAGAAGAGUGGAUCCUUCCCGGCAGAGUAGAAGUUGCCCAGGUCCUCGCCAUUGGGGUUAUUGGGGCUGCCGCCAAAGAUGUGCACGGCCGUGUGUGGGGCUUUCUCCAGAGAUCCAUCGGCACCGUUAUUGUUCCCUUUCCUGCAUAAGACAUGGCUCCGUCACCUUUUUCUGGCCAUGCACACGUACCUUAUGGGAGCGCCGAAGAAGGCGUCCCGGAGCUUGACCUUAGCGACGUUGUUGUACAUGACGGAGAUGUUGUCCUGGCGGAUCUGAUCGUCGGUCUUGUAGGUGGGCUCGCCGAAGCUGGGGUCGACGCCGGGCGCGUAGCCGAGAUCCACUCGCGCGGGCGCGUAGUUUGCCUCGUUGCGAUUGGCGUCGAAGAUGGGGGUGCCCUCGCGCCGAAACAUCUCCGGGAUGUAGCUCCCCCCCUCCUGGUUGUCCCAGUUCCAAAACGGCAGCGCGAAGGUUGGAUCGUUGAUCAAGCUGCCCAGGAUCUUCUCGUGGUAGUAGAGGUACCAGCGGUGCCACGGCAGGAAGAGCCAGUUGAAGUGGAUCUGGAGCGUUGACUUUGGAUCGCCCUCCUGGCGGUAGCCGAAGUUGCAGUAGACGCAGUGGACGUUUGCCUGCUGCCGGAAGCUCCGGGGAUCAUCCGAGGGAAGCGCGCGCAUCUUGGCGUAGGCCUCGUUGUACUUCUGGAUGUAGUCCUCGUCCACGAGAUGGGCGGCGGGGCGGGUGCGCAUGGGGCCGGUGUCGGGCUUGAAGUCGAUGGUGUCGCGCUUGGGCUUGGGCGGGCAGCACGCCACGAAGGUGUUGGUGUUGGCGAUGUUGGCGGGCUGGCAGCGCUUGAAGGUGGGAGAUCCCACGGGCUCGGCGAGCGCGGGACCAGUAGGGGACGCUGCGAGCGAAGCUCCGCCGGCGAUUGUUCCCGCCAGGAGCUCGCGGCGAUCGAUGAUCGAGGCCGGAGUGGAGCUACCUUUCUUGGAGGGGAAAGAGGGAUUACCAGACUCCCCUGUUGCUGCAUUGGCUUCUUUCCUGGCAUUGGCGGUGAUCUUGAGCGUACCCCGGGAGCGAUUGGGCAGAAGUGGGCAUCGGCUCCGGUGCUGGAGCUUGACGCGAUCGAGCGAGAGUGCCGCGGAAGACAUGCCCAGCAGCGAAUCCAUGCUGGAUGAGAGAUUCCAAACCUCGACUGACGACGUCGUAGGAAGCGUACCUUUUUAAAGGACGAACAAGCUCACAUGACUCUCGUGGGAGUAGUGGCGAUAAUAUUUCAGACCAAAGUGAUCGGACUUUGAUCCACGAGAACCCCGUGUCUCUUAGAAUUCUUAUCAAAACUGCCACGUCAUUGCAGCCUUUAGUAGGGUUACCGUCUUUUCAGGAGACGAGCAAAGAUAUGCUUGAAACAGCAGUGAAUGAGGGGAAUUCGUAAUUGGCGUAAGUUUAUUUGAUAUCCAUCUGCACGGUAGCAUUUCCACGGUACGGCCCAGCUUGUUCUCUGAUUCCGUUCGCUUUGAACUGUAGUUGCCACUUUCUUGAACAAGCCAUGUAAAGCUUUUAGCAGAACAUCGCCACAAGGUAAACACUUAAAUUACCUUCGCCUUUGAUAGGCUAGGUUGUGUUCGAAGUGUUUUUUGAGCCGCUGCUCACCCACCUUUUAAACGGGUCGAUUGCCACAUUCAUGGAAAUCCGGACAUUAGUCGUCACCUUCGCCUACAACAUUCGAGGUACGUGCUGAAUGAAUCUCACGCUUGACUGUUCGAUUUGUGAGAGCUUAAGGAGCUCCGGGAAAGCACCAAAGGUACAAACAAGAGCCGAGGGGAGGGAGUUGGCCAGGCGUUUCCUAGGCUUGGGUUUCGUAGCAGUUUGAUCGAUCAUGUGGUGUAGCUCGCACCAGUGUCGUCAUGCAUAUACCACGCCCCGUUACUGUGGAUCAUAAAAGAAAGCUCGAACUAAAGAGAAGGAAAAACAGAGAACACGAACUCGAGUUGGCCGGGCGACGACUUCGUUCCUGCCACCUUAACGGAAAAGGGACGUCGAGGGGGCUAGGGCUUGAUCCAAGGUGACCACUCUGACCGUACGCCUGGAUCAUCGAGUUCCAGGACCUCUCGGCAUUCGAUCAAAUACUCUCCUAGCGUCCUCCAGGUGACCGCUCUCAGCGUACACUGCGAUCAUUGCGUUCCACGGGUUUGUGUAGCAGCCUUGCUUCUCGCUCCUCCCUGCUCCGACCAAAGAUCAUGGAGUUCCAAGACGUGACAUCCGCCAAAACGCCAGCUUGGCAUCGCUGAUAUGCCGGGCAUGGGCAUAUCCCGUCCAAGAGAUGAUAAUCUUCCAAGGCAUUUGAUCAGAAAUUCCCUUGGCUUCCUCCGCAGAUUGACACUGCACGCAAGCCAGAAUUGCUGCACCAAGUCCCGGCAAGGCACUUUUUCAAAGACCCUGAUACAAUCCUCUUGGUGCCCAGAUUGGGCAUAAGCUGCUGAUCUUGUGUUCCACGAUGUUAUAUCCCUUCUCGGAAUUUCUGGGAAGAGGCUCAAAGCUACCCCACAUGACCGUCUAUCCAUACGCUACUCGUAUGGUCGUCCUCGCCACGGCAUCCUUGUGAGAAAUCCAUCAAACAGCCUUCUCGCUAGAACCAUAUACCUGUUGUGGGAAUACGCUGCUACCAUGGUCGUCAAAGAAACGCCGUCUUUCGGUGGCAUCUGAUCGCAUCACAGCCUUGCAGUGUGAUACUAUCCAGCGGUGUAAUACGCGGUGAUAAUAGAUGCCCAUGAUGCCAAUCCCAAAACGGCAUUCUAUCAAAGAGCCACUGUGAUCGAUCGAUAUGCCGAAGCUGGGCAUUUUCUUAGACCAAAACGUUCCAGGAUACUUGAUCCUUCUCUAGAACAGCGAUGGCGUGCAAUAGUUCUUCUUCGCUUUCAGGAACUAUAGAGCGUCUUAUCGUGAUGUUUCUCCUCAAGAUCAUACAUUGCAACCAAUGAUGAUCCCACGCUCUGAGACGCGCUUGGCAUGGCCACCGGUAGAUCACCGGUUCCGGGACAAGAGCGCUGGAGAGCUCGCAUUGUAUGGCGGGAUUGCCGUUGUCGGGUUUGCGAUUGGAGGUAGUGUGCCGAGCUCGCUGGAAAUCUUGCUGCUGGUUCCCGAGGCGCUCCAGGCAAUAGGCAGUGGGCGUGGGCUACUCGAUCCUCAUCGCUGGUAAGCGAUCAUAUGAUCCAUCCCCCUAUUUUCCUCGCAUUUUUUCUUUUGAAUGUAAAGUUUUCUUUUCCUGAUAAUCCCUUUCGUUUCCCAGUUGUUUUUUUUUUCCAGCGAUGGUGGAGGGAGCACACUCGUGCGAAGCAAAAAAUCGUGCAUCGAAUGGUUGAGUGGAGCUAUACCAAAUGAUAAACUUGAGACGAGAGUCCCGAUCGCCAGCGUCAAAGUUUUGCUGGAAGAAGUUGAGGAGCGCGACGGUGAUGUUCGUGGCCGAGCUUGGCAUCGUCUUGUGCUGCUUCCGCUAGCUUCUCAUUCCGAAAGGAUCCGGAAAACUAGACUUUCCAGGCAUCUUUUCCAGCUUUGCUUGACACGAUCGGGGUGACAUACAAUCUCUGCCUUGGGAGCGGACACGAGCAAGGAUCGGUACGGUUUUUAUAUGCUAGGAAGGCGAAACGCCAUAGACUUUGUGAGUGAUUGUUGUCUCUUAACUCUCUUCUCACUCCAAGAACGCGAAAGUAGGGGAGCACCGAAAGAAAGAGGGGAAGAACCUCGCGAAUCGCUGAUCCUCCUUUGCAGCAUUCGUCCAUCCAUCCGACGGAGCGUUUCUUUUUGCGAUUUCUUUUAUUCUUUAUUUAUUUAUUUUUUGUUGCAGAGGCAUGGUUGCUGCCUAGCAAGUUGCUCGCCGGUCACCUCAAGAACAGGCUUUUGCUCGCUCCUUUUCUCGGCUCUUCCAACUUUAUUCUAAGUGGAAGAAC
Molecule: long non-coding RNA, 15096 nt
Filed under: Selaginella moellendorffii
Lineage: Eukaryota; Viridiplantae; Streptophyta; Lycopodiopsida; Selaginellales; Selaginellaceae
Description: long non-coding RNA (SMOE_LNC001385)
Source: RNAcentral